This 765-nucleotide ribosomal RNA is filed under the name uncultured bacterium. Its description in RNAcentral is "bacterial SSU rRNA". It matches the Rfam family "Bacterial small subunit ribosomal RNA", at positions 28 to 805 of the family's 1533-position model. The record is from RNAcentral.
GACGAACGCUGGCGGCGCGCCUAACACAUGCAAGUCGAACGAGAGAUGAGGAGCUUGCUCUUCAAAUCGAGUGGCGAACGGGUGAGUAACGCGUGAGGAACCUGCCUCAAAGAGGGGGACAACAGUUGGAAACGACUGCUAAUACCGCAUAAGCCCACGGCUCGGCAUCGAGCAGGGGGGGAAAGGAGCAAUCCGCUUUGAGAUGGCCUCGCGUCCGAUUAGCUAGUUGGUGAGGUAACGGCCCACCAAGGCGACGAUCGGUAGCCGGACUGAGAGGUUGAACGGCCACAUUGGGACUGAGACACGGCCCAGACUCCUACGGGAGGCAGCAGUGGGGAAUAUUGCACAAUGGGGGAAACCCUGAUGCAGCGACGCCGCGUGGAGGAAGAAGGUCUUCGGAUUGUAAACUCCUGUUGUUGAGGAAGAUAAUGACGGUACUCAACAAGGAAGUGACGGCUAACUACGUGCCAGCAGCCGCGGUAAAACGUGGGUCACAAGCGUUGUCCGGAAUUACUGGGUGUAAAGGGAGCGCAGGCGGGAGAACAAGUUGGAAGUGAAAUCCAUGGGCUCAACCCAUGAACUGCUUUCAAAACUGUUUUUCUUGAGUAGUGCAGAGGUAGGCGGAAUUCCCGGUGUAGCGGUGGAAUGCGUAGAUAUCGGGAGGAACACCAGUGGCGAAGGCGGCCUACUGGGCACCAACUGACGCUGAGGCUCGAAAGUGUGGGUAGCAAACAGGAUUAGAUACCCUGGUAGUCCACACCGUAA